RNAcentral lists this ribosomal RNA (490 nucleotides) under uncultured marine bacterium. RNAcentral's name for it is "bacterial SSU rRNA". It matches the Rfam family "Bacterial small subunit ribosomal RNA", at positions 8 to 490 of the family's 1533-position model. The record is from RNAcentral.
AGAGUUUGAUCAUGGCUCAGAUUGAACGCUGGCGGUAUGCUUAACACAUGCAAGUCGAACGGAAACGACACUAGCUUGCUAGUAGGCGUCGAGUGGCGGACGGGUGAGUAACGCGUAGGAAUCUGCCUGAUAGUGGGGGAUAGCCCGAAGAAAUUCGGAUUAAUACCGCAUAAUCUAUUCGUAGUAAAGUGGGGGACUUUCGAGCCUCACGCUAUCAGAUGAGCCUGCGUAAGAUUAGCUUGUUGGUGGGGUAAAAGCCCACCAAGGCGACGAUCUUUAGCUGGUCUGAGAGGAUGAUCAGCCACAUCGGGACUGAGACACGGCCCGAACUCCUACGGGAGGCAGCAGUGGGGAAUAUUGGACAAUGGGGGCAACCCUGAUCCAGCAAUACCGCCUGUGUGAAGAAGGCCUGAGGGUUGUAAAGCACUUUCAAUUGUGAAGAAAAGUUAGCGGUUAAUAACCGUUGGCCUUGACGUAACUUUAGAAGAAG